Molecule: ribosomal RNA, 1404 nt
Filed under: Klebsiella sp.
Lineage: Bacteria; Pseudomonadati; Pseudomonadota; Gammaproteobacteria; Enterobacterales; Enterobacteriaceae
Description: bacterial SSU rRNA
Rfam family: Bacterial small subunit ribosomal RNA
Source: RNAcentral
UGCAAGUCGAGCGGUAGCACAGAGAGCUUGCUCUCGGGUGACGAGCGGCGGACGGGUGAGUAAUGUCUGGGAAACUGCCUGAUGGAGGGGGAUAACUACUGGAAACGGUAGCUAAUACCGCAUAACGUCGCAAGACCAAAGUGGGGGACCUUCGGGCCUCAUGCCAUCAGAUGUGCCCAGAUGGGAUUAGCUAGUAGGUGGGGUAACGGCUCACCUAGGCGACGAUCCCUAGCUGGUCUGAGAGGAUGACCAGCCACACUGGAACUGAGACACGGUCCAGACUCCUACGGGAGGCAGCAGUGGGGAAUAUUGCACAAUGGGCGCAAGCCUGAUGCAGCCAUGCCGCGUGUGUGAAGAAGGCCUUCGGGUUGUAAAGCACUUUCAGCGGGGAGGAAGGCGAUAAGGUUAAUAACCUUGUCGAUUGACGUUACCCGCAGAAGAAGCACCGGCUAACUCCGUGCCAGCAGCCGCGGUAAUACGGAGGGUGCAAGCGUUAAUCGGAAUUACUGGGCGUAAAGCGCACGCAGGCGGUCUGUCAAGUCGGAUGUGAAAUCCCCGGGCUCAACCUGGGAACUGCAUUCGAAACUGGCAGGCUAGAGUCUUGUAGAGGGGGGUAGAAUUCCAGGUGUAGCGGUGAAAUGCGUAGAGAUCUGGAGGAAUACCGGUGGCGAAGGCGGCCCCCUGGACAAAGACUGACGCUCAGGUGCGAAAGCGUGGGGAGCAAACAGGAUUAGAUACCCUGGUAGUCCACGCCGUAAACGAUGUCGAUUUGGAGGUUGUGCCCUUGAGGCGUGGCUUCCGGAGCUAACGCGUUAAAUCGACCGCCUGGGGAGUACGGCCGCAAGGUUAAAACUCAAAUGAAUUGACGGGGGCCCGCACAAGCGGUGGAGCAUGUGGUUUAAUUCGAUGCAACGCGAAGAACCUUACCUGGUCUUGACAUCCACAGAACUUAGCAGAGAUGGAUUGGUGCCUUCGGGAACUGUGAGACAGGUGCUGCAUGGCUGUCGUCAGCUCGUGUUGUGAAAUGUUGGGUUAAGUCCCGCAACGAGCGCAACCCUUAUCCUUUGUUGCCAGCGGUUAGGCCGGGAACUCAAAGGAGACUGCCAGUGAUAAACUGGAGGAAGGUGGGGAUGACGUCAAGUCAUCAUGGCCCUUACGACCAGGGCUACACACGUGCUACAAUGGCAUAUACAAAGAGAAGCGACCUCGCGAGAGCAAGCGGACCUCAUAAAGUAUGUCGUAGUCCGGAUUGGAGUCUGCAACUCGACUCCAUGAAGUCGGAAUCGCUAGUAAUCGUAGAUCAGAAUGCUACGGUGAAUACGUUCCCGGGCCUUGUACACACCGCCCGUCACACCAUGGGAGUGGGUUGCAAAAGAAGUAGGUAGCUUAACCUUCGGGAGGGCG